Molecule: ribosomal RNA, 515 nt
Filed under: uncultured bacterium
Lineage: Bacteria
Description: partial 16S ribosomal RNA
Rfam family: Bacterial small subunit ribosomal RNA
Source: RNAcentral
GAUGAACGCUGGCGGCGUGCCUAAUACGUGCAAGUCGAGCGAAUGGAUUAAGAGCUUGCUCUUAUGAAGUUAGCGGCGGACGGGUGAGUAACACGUGGGUAACCUGCCCAUAAGACUGGGAUAACUCCGGGAAACCGGGGCUAAUACCGGAUAACAUUUUGAACCGCAUGGUUCGAAAUUGAAAGGCGGCUUCGGCUGUCACUUAUGGAUGGACCCGCGUCGCAUUAGCUAGUUGGUGAGGUAACGGCUCACCAAGGCAACGAUGCGUAGCCGACCUGAGAGGGUGAUCGGCCACACUGGGACUGAGACACGGCCCAGACUCCUACGGGAGGCAGCAGUAGGGAAUCUUCCGCAAUGGACGAAAGUCUGACGGAGCAACGCCGCGUGAGUGAUGAAGGCUUUCGGGUCGUAAAACUCUGUUGUUAGGGAAUAACAAGUGCUAGUUGAAUAAGCUGGCACCUUGACGGUACCUAACCAGAAAGCCACGGCUAACUACGUGCCAGCCGCCGCCGUAA